GAGAGUAUAGCUCAAUGGUAGAGUGUAUGCUUAGCAUGCACGAGGUCCUGGGUUCAAUCCUCAGUAUCUCCA
Molecule: transfer RNA, 72 nt
Filed under: Camelus bactrianus (Bactrian camel)
Lineage: Eukaryota; Metazoa; Chordata; Mammalia; Artiodactyla; Camelidae
Also listed under: 2 other names
Rfam family: tRNA
About the family: Transfer RNA (tRNA) molecules are approximately 80 nucleotides in length.
Source: Rfam by way of RNAcentral